UGGGGAAUUUUGGACAAUGGGCGAAAGCCUGAUCCAGCAAUGCCGCGUGUGUGAAGAAGGCCUUCGGGUUGUAAAGCACUUUUGUCCGGAAAGAAAUCCUUGGCUCUAAUACAGUCGGGGGAUGACGGUACCGGAAGAAUAAGCACCGGCUAACUACGUGCCAGCAGCCGCGGUAAUACGUAGGGUGCAAGCGUUAAUCGGAAUUACUGGGCGUAAAGCGUGCGCAGGCGGUUUGCUAAGACCGAUGUGAAAUCCCCGGGCUCAACCUGGGAACUGCAUUGGUGACUGGCAGGCUAGAGUAUGGCAGAGGGGGGUAGAAUUCCACGUGUAGCAGUGAAAUGCGUAGAGAUGUGGAGGAAUACCGAUGGCGAAGGCAGCCCCCUGGGCCAAUACUGGCGCUCAUGCACGAAAGCGUGGGGAGCAAAACAGGAUUAGAUACCCUGGUAGUCCACGCCCUAAACGAUGUCAACUAGUUGUUGGGGAUUCAUUUCCUUAGUAACGUAGCUAACGCGUGAAGUUGACCGCCUGGGGAGUACGGUCGCAAGAUUAAAACUCAAAGGAAUUGAC
RNAcentral lists this ribosomal RNA (567 nucleotides) under uncultured bacterium. Its description in RNAcentral is "partial 16S ribosomal RNA". It matches the Rfam family "Bacterial small subunit ribosomal RNA", at positions 355 to 914 of the family's 1533-position model. The record is from RNAcentral.